RNAcentral lists this ribosomal RNA (253 nucleotides) under uncultured bacterium. RNAcentral's name for it is "partial 16S ribosomal RNA". It matches the Rfam family "Bacterial small subunit ribosomal RNA", at positions 524 to 776 of the family's 1533-position model. The record is from RNAcentral.
GACGUAGGAUGCGAGCGUUGUCCGGAUUUAUUGGGCGUAAAGAGUUCGUAGGCGGUUCGUUAAGUCUGGUGUUAAAGAUCAAGGCUCAACCUUGGGAUUGCAUUGGAUACUGGCGGACUUGAGUGCAGUAGAGGCGAGUGGAAUUCUCAGUGUAGCGGUGAAAUGCGUAGAUAUUGGGAAGAACACCGGUGGCGCAGGCGACUCGCUGGGCUGUAACUGACGCUGAGGAACGAAAGCUAGGGGAGCAAAUGGG